GUGAGGGACAGGACGGUGUCGACAAAGGCACCCUUGGUGAUGGGGUCGAAGAAGAAGCGCUCGACCGGGACGGAGAAGUCGAGGCCGCCCGCGAACACGGGCACCACCUUGGCGCCGCGGGACUCGAGCUCCAUCACCAUGCCCGCGUAGUGGCCCUCGUCGCCGGUGACGAGGUGCGAGCGCUGGAGGACGAGGCCGACGACGGGGGCAUCCUUGGCGAAGGUCAUGUCCUUGCGGGUGUCGUACCAGUUGAGGUACUCCUUGAGGUCCUCGUACAUGGUGGGCGCGGUGGGGUGCCAGAUGCCGAUGUCGGGGAACGUCUCGGGCUCGGCAAUCUCCAUCUCCAUGUCCUUGAGCGCGGGAACGUAC
RNAcentral lists this long non-coding RNA (369 nucleotides) under Micromonas commoda. Its description in RNAcentral is "long non-coding RNA (MCOM_LNC000227)". The record is from RNAcentral. Lineage: Eukaryota; Viridiplantae; Chlorophyta; Mamiellophyceae; Mamiellales; Mamiellaceae.